GUCACAUUUUUCAAAGAGGAAGAAGUUCUUUUUAGAAACUUACACCUGAAGAUCAAAUGGACAGAUAUGUGGAAUGGAUGGAAACAUCAUACUGAUUACAUACAUGAGUGUAAGCAAACAGAGGCUCGUAGAAUCUCUUUGACAUUACUUGUGAGCCAUCCUAGACUAACCUCCUAUACAUGAAAGACUUGUGGCCCAUUCACACCAUUACCUAUGUAACAGCCAUUGAAACACAUGACAAGGGUUGCCAUCACCACCAUGGAGUUGGUCAUUAAUGCUCCAUGGUUUAGUGACAGGAAAUUGGAAGCUACCACCUUUGUGGCCCCGUGAUAAAAAGAAGAAGCCUGAUGGAAGAUGGACUUCUUUGAAAAAGCAAGGCCAUGUGGCAGCUGCUUCAGCCCAUCAAAGCUCUCCUGGAACAUAUUCAGGAAGAACUUGAUUGCAAGUUAUGCCUGGCUGCCUCUACUUCUCAUUUCAACAACACUGGGCAUAUUUUCUAAACUCUUCUGAGCAUAAUAACAGACAAGCAACCCUGUAAUGCAAGGCUAUAAUUCCACUGAGGGGUGCUGGCGGUGACAUGUACCAUGAAGUCAGACUCUGAGUGGUUUGUCACCAGAACCCCUAGGGUGGAAUUAUAGCCUGGUUCACUUCUUGCUUAUUUUCUUUAAUAUGUAGAUGUCACUUUGCCUCUCCCAUCAUCUCCCCUGGAGUUCUUGCCCCUUAUUUUCUGGCCACCAAAGAAUACUUUAUCUCCUAUUGUCUUGAUAAAGUUCUACAAUUUUAGUAUUAUGUAAUUUGAUGUAGACAAAUUUCCACUUUCUUUUCUUAUUCCUGUCAGU
Long non-coding RNA from Jaculus jaculus (lesser Egyptian jerboa), 839 nucleotides. RefSeq lists it as uncharacterized. NCBI's taxonomy places the organism in Eukaryota, Metazoa, Chordata, Mammalia, Rodentia, Dipodidae. The record is from RefSeq and is a predicted model, not a curated record. The transcript has 3 exons.